CACUGAACAGACUUUGGGUAAAUAGCAAACUGAUUUGACAACAGAAAGGCAUGGAACAACAGAAUCGUUCCACCAUUGUUGUUUUGGCAUGCACCAGGCACACUGCCAAUGAAAUUGUUAAGUUCACAAAACUUCCAAAAGCAACAGUUUAUUGUGUGUCUGAACAAUUUAAAGAA
This is a long non-coding RNA of Octopus sinensis (East Asian common octopus), 176 nucleotides long. RefSeq lists it as uncharacterized. Lineage: Eukaryota; Metazoa; Mollusca; Cephalopoda; Octopoda; Octopodidae. The record is from RefSeq and is a predicted model, not a curated record. The transcript is spliced from 3 exons.